RNAcentral lists this ribosomal RNA (254 nucleotides) under uncultured bacterium. RNAcentral's name for it is "partial 16S ribosomal RNA". It matches the Rfam family "Bacterial small subunit ribosomal RNA", at positions 524 to 776 of the family's 1533-position model. The record is from RNAcentral.
UACGUAGGUGGCAAGCGUUGUCCGGAUUUAUUGGGUUUAAAGGGUGCGUAGGCGGUUCUCUAAGUCAGUUGUGAAAUACUUCAGCUUAACUGGAGAGGUGCAAUUGAUACUGGAGAACUUGGAGUACUGAUGAGGUAGGCGGAAUGGACGGUGUAGCGGUGAAAUGCUUAGAUAUCGUCCAGAACACCGAUAGCGAAGGCAGCUUACUAAGGAGUAACUGACGCUGAGGCACGAAAGUGUGGGGAUCAAACAGG